Molecule: long non-coding RNA, 332 nt
Filed under: Citrus sinensis (sweet orange)
Lineage: Eukaryota; Viridiplantae; Streptophyta; Magnoliopsida; Sapindales; Rutaceae
Description: long non-coding RNA (CSIN_LNC000041)
Source: RNAcentral
AGAGCACCAUGAGCAUGUUGUACUCAUCUAAAAUGGUGAUGCUUAUGCCCUCUGGAUUUGCUGAUUGAUGCCAUUUUCUGAAGCCUGAUCUGCUCUCUAAAUCUGGCUAUGAAUUCUCCUGCUUUCUUAUCAACCUCAUUAGGAUCAGGUUCAGCAUCAUUUCCACUGUUAGUCAUCGGAUCAGGUUCAGCAUCAUUUCCACUGUUAGUCAUAGACCCUUCAUCAGACUUGACUUCAUAAUUUUCAGCCUUACUCUCUGAUAUUUCUUUAGAUUCUACAGCAACCCUCUGACUAUGUUCUUUAUUCUUCCUCUUCUGAAACUGAGAAUGUGU